Molecule: ribosomal RNA, 726 nt
Filed under: uncultured Pseudomonadota bacterium
Lineage: Bacteria; Pseudomonadati; Pseudomonadota
Description: bacterial SSU rRNA
Rfam family: Bacterial small subunit ribosomal RNA
Source: RNAcentral
GCAGUCGGACGAGAAAUUCCGAUUCGUCGGGGAGAGUAAAGUGGCGAACGGGUGAGUAACACGAGGGUAAUCUACCCUUAAAUUAGGGAUAACCUUGCGAAAGCGAAGCUAAUACCUGAUAAGACUACAAUCUCCAAGGGGAUAGUAGGAAAAGAUGGCCUCUGUUUCAUGCUAUUGUUUAAGGAUGAGCCCUUGCACUAUUAGCUUGUUGGUGAGGUAAUGGCCCACCAAGGCUACGAUGGUUAGCUGGUCUGAGAGGAUGAUCAGCCACACUGGAACUGAGACACGGUCCAGACUCCUACGGGAGGCAGCAGUGAGGAAUAUUGCGCAAUGGGGGAAACCCUGACGCAGUGACGCCGCGUGAGCGAUGAAGGCUUUCGAGUCGUAAAGCUCUGUUAGGUGGAAAGAAACAUUCCAGUGCCAAUACCACUGGAAUUUGACGGUACCACCAGAGGAAGCACCGGCUAACUCCGUGCCAGCAGCCGCGGUAAUACGGAGGGUGCAAGCGUUGUUCGGAUUUACUGGGCGUAAAGGGCGUGUAGGCGGCUAGGCAAGUCAGGUGUGAAAUCCCUUGGCUCAACCAAGGAAGUGCAUUUGAAACUGCUUAGCUAGAGUACAGGAGGGGAAAGUGGAAUUCCCAGUGUAGAGGUGAAAUUCAUAGAUAUUGGGAGGAACACCAGUAGCGAAGGCGGCUUUCUGGCCUGAUACUGACGCUGAGACGCGAAA